CUUUUAAUAGUAUUGGCUUUCCUAUGGACUCAAAAGUGAUUUCUCACAAAUAUAAAAUGAAGACUCUUCUAGCUUGAAGCUUGAGCCAACAUUGUUCCUUUCUUGCAUCCAGGGGAUCUCCACAUAAACCUUAAGCCAUAGCAUCUUUUGAACUUUUUCUGAAAUAUACUUGGAAAACAUAUUAGUCCAAUGAUGCAUAUGUUA
RNAcentral lists this long non-coding RNA (204 nucleotides) under Hordeum vulgare. RNAcentral describes it as "long non-coding RNA (HVUL_LNC006626)". Lineage: Eukaryota; Viridiplantae; Streptophyta; Magnoliopsida; Poales; Poaceae. The record is from RNAcentral.